Molecule: transfer RNA, 71 nt
Filed under: Loxodonta africana (African savanna elephant)
Lineage: Eukaryota; Metazoa; Chordata; Mammalia; Proboscidea; Elephantidae
Rfam family: tRNA
About the family: Transfer RNA (tRNA) molecules are approximately 80 nucleotides in length. Their secondary structure includes four short double-helical elements and three loops (D, anti-codon, and T loops).
Source: Rfam by way of RNAcentral
ACCUCUGGAGCAAAUGGUUAAGCGCUUGGCUACUAACCAACAGGUUGGCAGUUCACAUCCACCCAGAGGUG